Molecule: ribosomal RNA, 288 nt
Filed under: uncultured Pseudomonas sp.
Lineage: Bacteria; Pseudomonadati; Pseudomonadota; Gammaproteobacteria; Pseudomonadales; Pseudomonadaceae
Description: partial 16S ribosomal RNA
Rfam family: Bacterial small subunit ribosomal RNA
Source: RNAcentral
CGCAACCCUUGUCCUUAGUUACCAGCACGUUAUGGUGGGCGACUCUAAGGAGACUGCCGGUGACAAACCGGAGGAAAGGUGGGGAUGACGUCAAGUCAUCAUGGCCCUUACGGCCUGGGCUACACACGUGCUACAAUGGUCGGUACAAAGGGUUGCCAAGCCGCGAGGUGGAGCUAAUCCCAUAAAACCGAUCGUAGUCCGGAUCGCAGUCUGCAACUCGACUGCGUGAAGUCGGAAUCGCUAGUAAUCGUGAAUCAGAAUGUCACGGUGAAUACGUUCCCGGGCCUU